UAGCAUAGCUCAGUCGGUAGAGCAUGUGACUCUUAAUCUCAGGGUCCUGGGUCCGAGCCCCACAUUGGGGAAAAG
This 75-nucleotide transfer RNA is filed under the name Podarcis lilfordi (Lilford's wall lizard). RNAcentral describes it as "tRNA.Lys". The stretch from base 6 to 63 matches the Rfam family "tRNA", at positions 8 to 63 of the family's 71-position model. Rfam says of the family: Transfer RNA (tRNA) molecules are approximately 80 nucleotides in length. Their secondary structure includes four short double-helical elements and three loops (D, anti-codon, and T loops). Further hydrogen bonds mediate the characteristic L-shaped molecular structure. tRNAs have two regions of fundamental functional importance: the anti-codon, which is responsible for specific mRNA codon recognition, and the 3' end, to which the tRNAs corresponding amino acid is attached (by aminoacyl-tRNA synthetases). tRNAs cope with the degeneracy of the genetic code in two manners: having more than one tRNA (with a specific anti-codon) for a particular amino acid; and 'wobble' base-pairing, i.e. permitting non-standard base-pairing at the 3rd anti-codon position. The record is from RNAcentral. Lineage: Eukaryota; Metazoa; Chordata; Lepidosauria; Squamata; Lacertidae.